This 1554-nucleotide ribosomal RNA is filed under the name Salmonella enterica subsp. enterica serovar Stanley. Its description in RNAcentral is "partial 23S ribosomal RNA". It matches the Rfam family "Bacterial large subunit ribosomal RNA", at positions 653 to 2188 of the family's 2925-position model. The record is from RNAcentral. Lineage: Bacteria; Pseudomonadati; Pseudomonadota; Gammaproteobacteria; Enterobacterales; Enterobacteriaceae.
CCGUAUAGGGGAGCCGGAGGGAAACCGAGUCUUAACCGGGCGUUAAGUUGCAGGGUAUAGACCCGAAACCCGGUGAUCUAGCCAUGGGCAGGUUGAAGGUUGGGUAACACUAACUGGAGGACCGAACCGACUAAUGUUGAAAAAUUAGCGGAUGACCUGUGGCUGGGGGUGAAAGGCCAAUCAAACCGGGAGAUAGCUGGUUCUCCCCGAAAGCUAUUUAGGUAGCGCCUCGUGAAUUCAUCUCCGGGGGUAGAGCACUGUUUCGGCUAGGGGGCCAUCCCGGCUUACCAACCCGAUGCAAACUGCGAAUACCGGAGAAUGUUAUCACGGGAGACACACGGCGGGUGCUAACGUCCGUCGUGAAGAGGGAAACAACCCAGACCGCCAGCUAAGGUCCCAAAGUCAUGGUUAAGUGGGAAACGAUGUGGGAAGGCCCAGACAGCCAGGAUGUUGGCUUAGAAGCAGCCAUCAUUUAAAGAAAGCGUAAUAGCUCACUGGUCGAGUCGGCCUGCGCGGAAGAUGUAACGGGGCUAAACCAUGCACCGAAGCUGCGGCAGCGACACUGUGUGUUGUUGGGUAGGGGAGCGUUCUGUAAGCCUGUGAAGGUGUGUCGUGAGGCAUGCUGGAGGUAUCAGAAGUGCGAAUGCUGACAUAAGUAACGAUAAAGCGGGUGAAAAGCCCGCUCGCCGGAAGACCAAGGGUUCCUGUCCAACGUUAAUCGGGGCAGGGUGAGUCGACCCCUAAGGCGAGGCCGAAAGGCGUAGUCGAUGGGAAACGGGUUAAUAUUCCCGUACUUGGUGUUACUGCGAAGGGGGGACGGAGAAGGCUAUGUUGGCCGGGCGACGGUUGUCCCGGUUUAAGCGUGUAGGUGUGUGUUCCAGGUAAAUCCGGUUCACUUUAACACUGAGGCGUGACGACGAGGCACUACGGUGCUGAAGCAACAAAUGCCCUGCUUCCAGGAAAAGCCUCUAAGCAUCAGGUAACAUCAAAUCGUACCCCAAACCGACACAGGUGGUCAGGUAGAGAAUACCAAGGCGCUUGAGAGAACUCGGGUGAAGGAACUAGGCAAAAUGGUGCCGUAACUUCGGGAGAAGGCACGCUGACACGUAGGUGAAGUGAUUUACUCAUGGAGCUGAAGUCAGUCGAAGAUACCAGCUGGCUGCAACUGUUUAUUAAAAACACAGCACUGUGCAAACACGAAAGUGGACGUAUACGGUGUGACGCCUGCCCGGUGCCGGAAGGUUAAUUGAUGGGGUCAGCGCAAGCGAAGCUCCUGAUCGAAGCCCCGGUAAACGGCGGCCGUAACUAUAACGGUCCUAAGGUAGCGAAAUUCCUUGUCGGGUAAGUUCCGACCUGCACGAAUGGCGUAAUGAUGGCCAGGCUGUCUCCACCCGAGACUCAGUGAAAUUGAACUCGCUGUGAAGAUGCAGUGUACCCGCGGCAAGACGGAAAGACCCCGUGAACCUUUACUAUAGCUUGACACUGAACAUUGAGCCUUGAUGUGUAGGAUAGGUGGGAGGCUUUGAAGCGUGGACGCCAGUCUGCGUGGAGCCG